This 72-nucleotide transfer RNA is filed under the name Camelus bactrianus (Bactrian camel). It matches the Rfam family "tRNA". Rfam says of the family: Transfer RNA (tRNA) molecules are approximately 80 nucleotides in length. RNAcentral also lists the same sequence under 3 other names. Lineage: Eukaryota; Metazoa; Chordata; Mammalia; Artiodactyla; Camelidae. The record is from Rfam by way of RNAcentral.
GAGGAUAUAGCUUAAUGGUGGAGUGCAUGUUUAGCAUGCAUGAGGUCCUGGGUUCAAUUCCCAAUACCACCU